AUUGAACGCUGGCGGCAGGCCUAACACAUGCAAGUCGAACGAGUGGCGGACGGGUGACUAAUGUCUGGGAAACUGCCUGAUGGAGGGGGAUAACUACUGUAAACGGUAGCUAAUACCGCAUACCAUCGGAUGUGCACAGAUGGGAUUAGCUAGUAGCUGUGGUAAAGUCUCACCUACGCGACGAGCCCUAGCUGGUCUGAGAGGAUGACGAGCCAGACUGGAACUGAGACACGGUCCAGACUCCUACGGGAGGCAGCAGUGGGGAAUAUUGCGCAAUGGGCGCAAGCCUGAUGCAGCCAUGCCGCGUGUAUGAAGAAGGCCUGCGGGUUGUAAAGUACUUUCAGCGGGGAGGCGUUACCCAAAGAAGAAGCACCGGCUAACUCCGUGCCAGCAGCCGCGGUAAUUC
This 406-nucleotide ribosomal RNA is filed under the name uncultured bacterium. Its description in RNAcentral is "partial 16S ribosomal RNA". It matches the Rfam family "Bacterial small subunit ribosomal RNA", at positions 30 to 526 of the family's 1533-position model. The record is from RNAcentral.